This 316-nucleotide ribosomal RNA is filed under the name uncultured Russula. Its description in RNAcentral is "eukaryotic LSU rRNA". It matches the Rfam family "Eukaryotic large subunit ribosomal RNA", at positions 1 to 307 of the family's 3401-position model. The record is from RNAcentral. Lineage: Eukaryota; Fungi; Basidiomycota; Agaricomycetes; Russulales; Russulaceae.
UUGACCUCAAAUCGGGUGAGACUACCCGCUGAACUUAAGCAUAUCAAUAAGCGGAGGAAAAGAAACUAACAAGGAUUCCCCUAGUAACUGCGAGUGAAGCGGGAAAAGCUCAAAUUUAAAAUCUGGUGGUCUUUGGCCACUCGAGUUGUAAUUUAGAGAAGCGUCUUCCGCGCUGGACCGUGCACAAGUCUCCUGGAACGGAGCGUCAUAGAGGGUGAGAAUCCCGUCUUUGGCACGGAAACCCCAGGGCUUUUGUGAUGCGCUCUCGAAGAGUCGAGUUGUUUGGGAAUGCAGCUCAAAAUGGGUGGUGAACUCC